UUCUUCACCCGAGUGUCGGGGAAGUAGUAAUUAGUGUCUGGGAGCUGCGCUCUUCCACUUCUCCCAGUGCCUCUGGCGAUUUCCAAGUGGGAUCUGCGACUUCAGGGUUCUGGCCAAGCCCGCAGGCUGGCGUGAUUAGUUGCCGUUGAAGGGGGCUCCGCCAAUGAAAUCUUCUCUGCGCUCUGAUUUGGCGGUUCUUCGGUGCAAAUAUGACAGCUUUCUCUCUCAGCUCUUUUCUGCAUCUCUCCAUGUCCGACCCCGGAGCUCAGUUCUCGGUCUGCAAUUUCUACACCACAACCUUUGCAAUCACCACCACCACCACCACCACCACCCCUAGGUCCCAUGUCAGCAGGUGCCAGGUUGCUACAAAGGUGACAGGGCACAUUGGGAAGAAGGCUUGUUGAUUGCAGAAGAUACUUAUGCCCCGUAUUUCCAGGUCAACGCCUGUGUGUUCCAUCAGUUAAUGGGGAGUAGUAGUUAAGAGAGUAUACUAGUGAGGCUUUGGUGAGACGGGAUUUUGCUGUCUAUCGAGGAAAAUAAAAGAUGUGAACUUCCUGUGUUCAG
RNAcentral lists this long non-coding RNA (564 nucleotides) under Mus caroli (Ryukyu mouse). Its description in RNAcentral is "RIKEN cDNA 9330158H04 gene (MGP_CAROLIEiJ_G0006322.1)". Lineage: Eukaryota; Metazoa; Chordata; Mammalia; Rodentia; Muridae. The record is from RNAcentral.